CUCAAAGAUUAAGCCANGCAAGUGGNUCUUACCUGACGGUUUGAAUAAGUGUUCUCGCAUAGAUUUGAUCAGUUUUUGUUCCGUUCAUUUCUAUUCUAUUUCUGUCUUUUUUACAUUGNCUCACAUUCACUUGUGCAACUGCAGAUAGCUGCUUAAUACAGUCUCACUUGUCUUGACUUGGCAUUCGUUUGCUAUUCACAUUUCUUCUUUCUCUCUCUCUCUUUCUACCAUGUCUGUGAAAGCAAUUUUGGUGUGUUCGCACUGUUAACACUUCCUACUGGAUAACUAAGGGAAAGUUUGGCUAAUACGUACGAGANUCACUUUUCUCUUCUCUCUUCUCUCUUCUCUCUCUCUCUCUCUCUCUCUCUCUCAUUUGCACUUAUUGGUUUGUGGACCGGAUCUUUUUGUAUUUCUGGUUUCACAGUAGCCUCAUGANUGACAAUAAGAACGCACUAAGCAAUCUUUCUGAGAUUGUUGCUGAGCAGACUUGCAAUCAUCUUUUUGCAAGCAUGUCAUACAAGCAUCUACAGCAUCAAGUCACAGNGUUGGCAAGUGUCUUUUUGAACCUUCAAAGCAGUCACGCAUACGGAGGAGUAGUUUCUGAUCCCAUAGAAGGAGCACCGUACAUUGAGAGACCGCUCUUAGUUCUAAGGAACGCAGCAGGCGCGUAAAUUGCCCAAUGAUAGCCUCUUGUGGACUUAUCAUCUUGGACAAGAUAAAACAAAACUGAUUCGAAUUUUCCGUUGAAUGCUUUUUGCNUUCGUGGUCUUAUUCUUCUUACUUCUUUCUCUUUCUCUCUCUCUCUCUUAUUCUUUAUUUCUGUCUUGUUGACACCUUCUUGUUUGACGAUUUGGACUGGCUCGUUCACACGAGUUGGUCUGAUCCUUUCAUUGAGGCAGUGACAAGCUGUAANUUUUGAGUAUGCUUAAAGAACGGGUGUGUAGACACUGUCACUUCGUGAUUCGUGACUCCGCCNAAUAUGUGCUCAUUUGGNAUGCGGUGAAUUUAAGUCAUUCGGAGUGAGUGGUGUCCUUGUUUGGACAUCACAAACAUCUGAAUUUCAAGUGGAGGGCAAGUCUGGUGCCAGCAGCCGCGGUAAUACCAGCUCCACUGGCCUAUACAAUCAUUGUUGCGGUUAAGAGGCUCGUAGUUGGAUUGAACACUUUUAAUAUGAAAACAAAUUUUAUUCUUUUUAAUAGAAAUAGAUUUGCCUUUUUUUUAUUAUACGACAUACAAUUUUACACACACAUUUAUUUUUAUUAUCAUCAUUCUUUUUUAUUUUUCAACACUGUGAACAAAUCAGAGUGUACCAAACAUGUCGUUUUACGAUAAGUGCAUUGAAUGUUUCAUCAUGGAAUGUUGCACUUCUAACAUUUUUAUAUGUAUAUUUUUUUNGUCAUUUAGUUACACUACACAUUUGGUUAACGUGGCAAUAAAAGGUAUAUUAUUAUAAAAAUAUGUCGAUGGGGAUAGUUGGAGUCAAGAGUACUGCUGGGCGAGAGGUGAAAUUCAUUGACCCUAGCAAGACUACCAAAAGCGAAAGCACUUGACUAGGCUAUACUCUUUGUGAAUAUUUUCCUUUUUAAAUUAUUACACACACUAUUAAUUNUUUUAAAUGGAAAUUUCCCACUUUACAAUGAAGAACGAAGGUUGGGGGAUCAAAGAGGAUCAGAUACCCUCGUCGUCCCAUUUGUUACAUCAAACGAUGGGCUCUCAAUUGCAUAUACUUUUGAAUGCUAUUGCCCUCAACCUGCAAAAAUUUUGUGGUUCGAGCUUAUGUUAUAUUUUUAUGACACGCUCACCUAUUUAUUUUAGUACGGUUUCGACGGACAUUUCAUUUAUAUAUUUUUUGCGUGUAAGUAUUUUUAAUAUUGCUUGAAACAUUAGCAAUAUGUGCCUGCACAUGAUUUUCUGAGCUUUGCGCUCAUAUUAUUUGGUGAGAUGUAAGCACUAGACGUGGGCUACUUUCAGCGGCUGUGCGCAGGUAUUAAUUUAUCGCCGUAGCUUUGUUUGAUUGUUCAGCCUUUCGUUAUUUUAAUGGUGUGAAGCACGCGUUAGGCACGCGCUUACUGCAGAAAUGUCUGAGACAUUCCCUCCGGGGGUAGUAUGCACGCAAGUGUGAAACUUGAAGGAAUUGACGGAAGGGCACCACAAGAACGCGUGGAGCAUGUGGCUUAAUUUGACUCAACGCGGGAAAUCUUACCGGGUCCGGACACACUGAGGAUUGACAGGCAAUCAAUGUGAGAUUUAUAUCUCAUAUUAUAAAUAUGCUAGUCCUUUCAUGAUUAUGUGAUAGGUGGUGCAUGGCCGUUCUUAGUUCGUGGAGUGAUCUGUCUGCUUAAUUGCGUUUCGCAUGGGACUUAUAAAUAAGUGUGCUACUUUUCUUGUUUCGCUUUUAUAUUUUAACUUAUUUAUAAGUUAUUUAUGAUUGCGUUUACAAUUAUGAAAUGUCUGCGCACAUUAGGUCCUGAAAGCAACGAACGUGACCGCAUCCUCUUGUUGCCUUUUACUUAAACGAACAGUCUUAUUUUUAAUAAAUUCGGCUGUGAGUUUUAACAAAAGAGUGCUUUAUAAAACUAGAGGGACCGCUGCGACUUUUUUAAACCAGAGGAAGGUUGCGGCAAUAACAGGUCUGUGAUGCCCUUAGAUGUUCCGGGCUGCACACGUGCUACAAUGAUUAUUGCAGUGAGCAUCUCAUUUAUUAUAAAACGCUGUUUUAUUGACCAUUAUGAUUUAUUGUUUUGGUUGAGCAGCCAAGCCUGCUUCGAAAGUUCGCAGGUAAUCAAUUGGAAGUAAUGAUUUCCCUUUUUUUAAAAUUCAGAUUUUAAUUUGUCUUUUUGUGAAGCACACUAUAUGUUGCUCCCUUCCCUGGCCGUUUGCUUUUUUGUCUUUCGGUCUUUAGUGGUUGGGUGUUUUUUCAACAUGUGCUUUUUGUCAAUUCAUGGUGGGGACAGACCAUUGUUAAUUGUUGGUCUCGGUCUUAACUAGGAAUGCCUUGUACGGGUCUUUGGUUCAACAAACCACCCGGAAUACGUCCCUGCCCUUUGUACACACCGCCCGUCGCUCUUACCGAUGGACUUCUCUGUGAGUUUGAGGGACUGGGUACCUUAGCUUUUACGUUAAACUAAAAGCUACAAUCACUUAUGGAAACUUAAACGAACAGUGUGGUCUAAAGGAAAGAGAAGUCGUAACAAGGCAUCGGUAGGUGAACCU
This 3213-nucleotide ribosomal RNA is filed under the name Rhizammina algaeformis. RNAcentral's name for it is "SSU rRNA". The stretch from base 977 to 3213 matches the Rfam family "Eukaryotic small subunit ribosomal RNA". The record is from RNAcentral. Lineage: Eukaryota; Foraminifera; Astrorhizida; Astrorhizidae.